RNAcentral lists this ribosomal RNA (354 nucleotides) under uncultured bacterium. RNAcentral's name for it is "bacterial SSU rRNA". It matches the Rfam family "Bacterial small subunit ribosomal RNA", at positions 1 to 334 of the family's 1533-position model. The record is from RNAcentral.
CUAGCGACUUCAGAGUUUGAUCCUGGCUCAGGAUGAACGCUGGCGGCGUGCCUAACACAUGCAAGUCGAGCGGGAUCUUGCUAAAUGACGCUUCGGUUGAUUUUAGUAAGUGAGAGCGGCGGACGGGUGAGUAACGCGUAGGCAACCUGCCCUUUGCAGAGGGAUAGCCAUUGGAAACGAUGAUUAAAACCUCAUAAUGCCAGACUGAGACAUCUCUAACUGGCCAAAGAUUUAUCGGCAAAGGAUGGGCCUGCGUCUGAUUAGCUAGUUGGUGGGGUAACGGCCUACCAAGGCGACGAUCAGUAGCCGACCUGAGAGGGUGAUCGGCCACAUUGGAACUGAGACACGGUCCAA